This 563-nucleotide ribosomal RNA is filed under the name uncultured bacterium. RNAcentral describes it as "partial 16S ribosomal RNA". It matches the Rfam family "Bacterial small subunit ribosomal RNA", at positions 355 to 905 of the family's 1533-position model. The record is from RNAcentral.
UGGGGAAUUUUGGACAAUGGGCGAAAGCCUGAUCCAGCAAUGCCGCGUGUGUGAAGAAGGCCUUCGGGUUGUAAAGCACUUUUGUCCGGAAAGAAAUCCUUGGCUCUAAUACAGUCGGGGGAUGACGGUACCGGAAGAAUAAGCACCGGCUAACUACGUGCCAGCAGCCGCGGUAAUACGUAGGGUGCAAGCGUUAAUCGGAAUUACUGGGCGUAAAGCGUGCGCAGGCGGUUUGCUAAGACCGAUGUGAAAUCCCCGGGCUCAACCUGGGAACUGCAUUGGUGACUGGCAGGCUAGAGUAUGGCAGAGGGGGGUAGAAUUCCACGUGUAGCAGUGAAAUGCGUAGAGAUGUGGAGGAAUACCGAUGGCGAAGGCGAGCCCCCUGGGCCAAUACUGACGCUCAUGCACGAAAGCGUGGGGGAGCAAAACAGGAUUAGAUACCCCUGGUAGUCCACGCCCCUAAAACGAUGUCAACUAGUUGUUGGGGAUUCAUUUCCUUAGUAACGUAGCUAACGCGUGAAGUUGACCGCCUGGGGAGUACGGUCGCAAGAUUAAAACUCAAA